This is an RNA transcript of Nicotiana tabacum (common tobacco), 6977 nucleotides long. It is a transcript of the gene named zinc finger BED domain-containing protein RICESLEEPER 2-like, with no coding region annotated. Lineage: Eukaryota; Viridiplantae; Streptophyta; Magnoliopsida; Solanales; Solanaceae. The record is from RefSeq and is a predicted model, not a curated record.
CUGCAAAUAUUGGGCACAUUUUGGGCGAAGAUUUUGGACGAAAUCUCAAAUCCCGCCAUCUCACCCAGCAUCCACAAAUCGAUAAUGCUUUGGCUUCGUCAAUGUCGUAACAAUGACAUCACCUAUCUGUUCUCCUUGUACUACUCCACAGCUGCAACUUCCCACAACAAUUUGUUGGCGGAAAUACUAGUGAAUUCACUUGGUUUCUCCCACGAUAAAGCUAUUUCUGCUAGCGCCAAGGUAACACUCUUGAAACCUGGAAACAACAAGCCUCAAUUGGUCAUCAAUUUCUUCCAACAAAUUGGUCUAGACAAGACCCACAUCAAAUCCCUUGUUUCUUGCAACCCUAGGUUGCUGUUUUCUGAUGUUGACAAAACCCUUAAACCCAAAAUUAAGGUUUUUCAAGAACUUGGCUUAUCUGGGUCAGACCUAGCUAAAGUCAUCGCAAAAAGUGGGUCUUUCUUCUUUUUAAGUCUUGAUAAUUCAAUCAGAUCCAAUCUUGAUUAUUUCCGGAAUCUGUUAGGUAGUGAUGACUCUGUAGCUAAGUUUAUCAAGAGAGAGCCUAGGUUCUUAUGGGGUAUUGAUGCCCCUAAAAUAAUGCCACCCAAUAUAUCAUUGCUGCAAAAUCUUGGGUUUUCAAGUGUUGAUAUACAGAAGCUUAUGCUUUGGAAUCCUAGAAUUUUUACUCAAAAGGCUGAGCGCCUCAAAAACACAGUGGAUCGAGUAGAAAAAACUUUCUCUCUCUCUCGCGAUUGCAACAUGUUCAUACAUGGGGUUUAUGCACUUGCAUGGCUUGACGAAUCGACGGUGAAAAAGAGAUUAGAAAUCUUCAGGAGCUUCGGGUGGUCUGACUCGGAGAUUUUUAAAUUGGUCCAAAAACUUCCUCUUUGUUUGACAAGAUCUGAAGCUAAGAUCAGAAAUACGUUAAAUUUUUUAAUGAAGGAACUUGGUUAUGAGUCUCAUUACCUGGCUUCUCAUCCCACGUUUAUGACAUGUAGCUUGGAGAAAAGGAUUCUGCCUAGACAUAACGUUUUGAAGCUACUCAGCCAAAAGGAGCCGACAAAGUGUAGUCUGAACCUUUAUACUGCUGUGAUAUGUUCCGAGUCGAAGUUCUUAGAAAGAUAUGUGCUGCCUUUCAAGGAUGAGAUGCCCGAGGUGUAUGAUAUAUACAUCAAAAAUAGAAGCCAAUAGAGCAUUUUGUGAGUUUUACCAAAUUUAUUGAUAUGUUUGCUCAUAUCUCAUUGCUAUCAUAGAGGAUAAAUCAUUAUGUUUCUACAUGGUUGUUCUUGUUUUUUUUUUCUUUCAAAUGUGGCUAUCUCAAUCUGAAUGACAUGUUUUUUUCUUGAAUGCUUGUAGAUUAUGUUUUUGGUUCUUUUGUUUGUCAUGCAUUGGUCAUGAUAGUAUUCCGCCUAAAGCCCUAUUCGACCUAGUAAAGUUCUUCUAGAUUCUAGAGGUAGUAUCUUGUCUCAGCUUUGGUUUAUCUGUAGUUAUAGUAAGCAAAAGGCCAAGUGACAACCAACACCACUCAACACAGGUAAAGUAUACUUAAAACAAAUUGUUCUCCAGUUUGUCUGAAUGAUUUUAUUGUAUGUGUCUUCCUAAGUUACUCGAACUCUUCACUUUUGGUGCCGCACCCGUGUCGACACGACGUGGGUGUGGGUGUGGGAUCCGUACUUGAUCUGGUCAAUCAAUUUUGGGUACUUUGACCAAAAUCGAAGGAAUGAUUCGAGACAGGUACAAUGAUUUUUGAAAUCAAAACAAAAGUUAAGGUAAAAUUGAAGAAAAUGGAAUACCUUGUAUAUAGAAAUUUCUAUGUUAGUCCUUUUCCUUUUAUCUCUUUCUCGGAUUCUCCUCUUGAUCAAUAUAAUUUUUCCUUCUUAGCAUACAUUGUUAGUUUUCCACAUAAUGUCUCAUAAUUUAUAUAUAUUUUUAGAUAUUUGAAUUAUUUUUAGUCGAAUUCCCGCACCCGUAUUUAUAUUUGGAUCCAUACCCCGAAUCUUAAUUUUUAAAUCAUGAAGGAUCUGACCUCUAGAUCCGCACCCGUAUCUGACACCAGCACCCGAGUUCGAGCAGCUUAGGUGUUUUCAGAUGCUUGGUGGUCACAAUCAUCCUGACAGUAGAUAUAACCGUUAAACUCCAUCAUUCGUUCUUAUUUCUCUCGAUUCAAUUCAGCUACAAACUUGACUAUCUAGCUGUACUACUUUCAACUGCACGGUCCUACACUUUGAGGUUUCUCUUACUAAGGCAGAAGAGAAGGCACCAAUAAGGACAAAACAGCACAGAUCACUCCUGAACAGCUAGCAAACUGAUCUUGUAUUGAAUCAACACCAGCUUUUAACUUCACUGAAUCUAUAAUUUUGAAUAAAUAUUAGAAUCAAGUUAAUUAAGAUGUAACUGUUUGAUCAUACCUUUUUAUGUAUUAGCUUAGAAAUUUAUGUUCACGAGUUUCUACACAAUUAGGCUGUCUACAUCACACCCCUUGGGCUGCGGCCUUUCCCCAGGCCCUGUGUGAAUGCGGGAUGUUUUAUGCACCGGGAUGCCCUUUAUGUAUUUAUUUAUAGAUAAAUUAUGCAGAAGGGACAACACACAAGCUGAAGUUAAACUGUUUUCUCUCUUAACCUUUUGGCGCAAAAUGCAGAAUGUACAAGAACUGGAUAGUUUUUAUGUUUUUCAGCUCCCCAAUAGAUUAGUAUGGAGAGGAACUGUCUUUUAGCAAGGUCCUAGUGGAAACCUUGCUUUUCAAGGAUAUGAUUUGUGCAUCAAAAGCAGAAGCUAAGAGAAAUUCCUUUGGUGGGGGAUGUUGACUACAGAACAUUCUUUGAGCCUGUGUUAAUAGGUCAGGCAUUGCAUACAUCAUAUGUCCAAUUCCUUGUUUGUACUGGUCAUUCCUCUUCAAGCUACUGUCAAGCGUUUUACUGCUAAUUUACAUUUUAUUUCUGUAGAGCCAGUGUUAAUAGGUCAGGCAUUCUGAUGUUAAAGUAGAAGAUGCUUUUAGUAGAGAAGCACAUUUGUCGAAUAACCAUCUAUUUUGGUAAAUGGAGAAGAAAGUUCGGGAAGAAAUUAACUCUUGUAUCAGUUAAAGUCAUUUCAUCAAUGCCAAUCCCCGAUCUGGAGAAUAUAUCUUCUUGCAUCUUAAAAAAUCUUCUUGCUUUACACCAGCGCGACAUUUUCUUAAUCAAAGUUCUUAUAGAAAGUAUAAGUCAUGCUAAUUCUUUUUUAUUCUGUCAUUGUGUUUUGUUCAAACGUAGAUUAUUUAUGUCUGUAUCUUCAUUGUCUAUGGGAGGUGGAGUAAUCUCUUCAACAUGUCUUUGAAGAUCAUUUUUCACUGUUUCAAUAUCAUCUCUCUCUUUAAUAACAUGGUGGUGUGGACAAAACAUGGGAUUCAAUGACCAAAACUAAUAUGGUUAUCCAACAAGAAUGAGUCUACAAAGAGAGAGAGGAUCUACUUCACCCAUGUCACUUGUUGUAUCGGCCAAGGCUUUACACCAGCGUGACAUUUUCUGAAUCAAAGUUCUUAUAGAAGUAUGUACGGUCUUUUAGGAAUGGUUUCAUGAUUCUGAGGUGCUUGAUGUAUAUAUCAAAGAUAGAAGCGAUAAGGAUUAUUCUUUACGGUAAUAUGCAUAUUGCAGAUUCUUUGUUUGUGAGGUUUCUUUUUGAUAUUGUUUACUUAAUCCUCUCUGGAGUAUUACUGCUAGUUGACAUCUGAUUGCUGACCGCUUAUUUACUUAUUUAUUUCGAAUUUUCCUUGAUGUUUCUUAAUCCUGUCUAGAAUAUUUUCCUCUCCUUGUUGACUGCCUCUAUUAAUCAGUUAUACUGGAAAUGGAAGGUAUUCAGAUUUUGUUGUUCAAUGAUGCUUUGUAGUAAAUGUGGAGAAAAUAAUGGAAGUUUUAUUUAUUUCCUUUGUUUAUGUACCUAUUCCAUGAAUCAAUUUCUCAAUGGGGAUUGCAUGUUCUUGUUUUUGGCUGAAACUACUAACUCUGUUUCUAUGACAGGGUACCGGGUAGGGGUGGGCAUAAUACCGACCGAACCGUGCCGAACUUUUGGGUAUUAGUUCAAAACUUAAUUAAUUGUCUUAUCACUUAUGUUCUUAGGCUGAAGCCGCUGAACUCUGAAGCCCAAAGCCCAAAUACCUUUGAAUCCCCCCCCACCCAAGUGACUCACUUACGUUAUUUCCCAUCAAAAAUUAGACUUAGGGUUUUGCGAGUCUUGCGAGUUGCGACUGCUGGCUUCUUCCUCAGCUCUGUGCCACACUGCGAGUCUGCGACUGCUGCCUUCUUCCUCAGCUUCACUGUGACGCCUUCUUCCUCAGAUGACAGAAGUUGAAAGUAGAGUAAGUGAGGUGGGUUCAUCUGAAAGCGAACCUACUUCUUCACCUACAAUUUCAGUUGAAACUAGUCAAGACCCAAAAAAAAGAAAAUCUGUACAAUCUAGAUCAAUUGCUUGGGAUCAUUUUGAAAAGUUUAAAGACGCUUAUGGAGGUGAUAGAGCAAAGUGUAAACAUUGUGGUUGUGAUUAUAAGGCUAAGUCACGAUUGAAUGGAACAACAUCAUUAAAUACUCAUUUAAAGAAGUGUCCAAAAAUACCACGAAAAGUUGAUAAUACUCAAACACAAUUGUGUUUACAAAAGGAUGGGCAAAUUAAUGGUGGGGUGCUUUGGAAAUUUGAUCAAGAACUAGUUAGGAGGGCUUUAGUUGAAAUGGUAAUUAUGGAGGAAUUACCUGUUAGCUUUGUUGAAAAGAAAGGCUUUAAGAAGUUUAUGAGCAUAGCCCAACCUCUAUUUAAUGUUCCUUCUCGUAGGACGAUUACAAGGGAUUGUUUUCAAGUUUACAGUGAAGAGAGGCUUAAACUAAUGAAAAAUUUCAGAGAUGUAAAACCAAAAAUUUGCCUUACCACAGACACAUGGACUUCGUUACAAAGAAUUAACUAUAUGUGUUUGACGGGUCAUUUUAUUGAUAGAGAUUGGGUGUUGCUUAAAAGAAUACUAAAUUUUUGCCCUAUCUCUAGUCAUAAGGGUGACGAAAUGGCAAAAGUUAUUGCUAAUUGUUUGCUUGAAUGGAAAUUGGAUAAGGUAUUCACUGUUACUGUUGAUAAUGCUUCUUCAAAUGAUGUCACGGUCAAAGAAUUGUAUAAACAAUUAGAUAUGUGGAAAACUAAUUCGAUGGGUGGUAAGCAUCUUCAUGUAAAUGCAUGGCUCACAUACUUAAUCUAAUUGUGCAAGAUGGUUUGAAGGAAAUUGAUGUUUAUGUAAAACGUGUUAGACAAGCUGUGAGGUAUGUGAGAUCAUCUCCACAAAGGACCUUAAAGUUUAGGGAAUGUUGUGCACAUCAAGAGGUAGAAUGUAGCAAAACAUUGUGUUUGGAUGUUCCUACUAGGUGGAAUUCCACCUACUUGAUGUUGGAAACGGCGCAAAACUUUGAGAAGGCCUUUGACAAACUUCAUCUUUUUGAUGAUGGAUUUUCAACUCAUCUUUGUACACAUGUUUGUGAGGAUGGGAAUGUUGUAGGUCCAUUUGUAUGUGAUGAUUGGGUGAAUGUGAGAAAUGUGAUAAAGUUUCUUGAAAGAUUUCACGAGCUCACCGAAAAAGUUUCAGGCCCACGUUAUGUCACUUCUAAUUGUCAUUUUGAGGAUAUAUCUGAGCUUGAUAGUCAUUUGAAAACUUGUUUAGCUAGUGAUGAUACUAAUUUGAAUAAGAUGGCAGAGAAGAUAGAAAGAGAAGUUUAAAAAAUAUUGGGGUGAACCUCAAAAGAUGAAUAAAAUGAUUUUCAUUGCUUCUGUAUUAGACCCUCAUAACAAAUUUGAGUAUGUUGGUUUUGCACUUGAGGAAAUGUUUGGGAAGGAACCAGGGAAGAAAUUAAUUGCCGAAGUGGAUGCUAAUUUGAAUUCUUUGUUUGGAGAGUAUCAAAAAAAAUAUUCCAAAGGAUGUUGUCUUCAAUCAUCUCCAUCUAAAUCUACUUCAUCUGAUGACACAUCCGAUUCAUCUAGUGUAAAUGUGAGAACAAAAUCUGUGAGAACAAAGCAAUUGUUGAAAAGGCAAAAGGUAGACUCCGGAAGUGUAGGUGCUAAAUCUGAGUUGGAAAGAUAUAUUGGUGAAAGACAAGAGCCAUUGUUUGAUGAUUCUGAUGACUUUAAAAUCUUAGAUUGGUGGAAAAUUAAUGCGCCUCGAUUUCCUGUUCUAUAUGAGCUAGCUCGUGAUGUAUUAGCCAUUCUAAUUUCAAGUGUUGCAUCGGAAUGUGCAUUUAGCACCGGUGGCCGCAUUCUUGAUUCAUUUAGGAGUUCAUUGACUCCUCGGUUGGUGCUAAGUCUUGUUUAUGUUCAAGAUUGGUUUAGAUGUGACGAUACUCCUAUUAAUGUUGAAGAAGAUUUGGAGUUUCUUGAGCAAAUUGAACUUGAUAUGGCAACAAACGGAAGAGAAACUUGCAUUAUUGAAAGAGAUACUAGCAUUGUUGAUGCAUAGUUUGAACAAGUGGUUCAACUAUGCCUCGUAGUCCUAAAGCUAGAUCGCCUAUUUGGGAACAUUUUGAGCUAGUUGAAGCAAAUGAAGAAGUCCGCAAAGCAAAGUGUCUUCAUUGUGGUCGAGUUUAUAAUUGUCAUCCAAAGUAUGUUGGCACCAUGUGCUUAGUGAAGCAUAUUAAGAAGUGUCUCAAUCCUCAUCCAGUGAUUCCGUAUGUUAGACUUUAAGUAUCAUUUUCUAGACUUAUUUUGUGGCUUGUGGGUUGUGACUAGUUUGCCACUGUUUUGUUGUUUGGUGAUGGUAAUUUUUAGACUUAUUUUGGACUUUGGUAGCUGCUAGAUUUGCCAUAUGUUAAACUGUUUUUGGACAAGUUUGCCACUGCUGAGCAGUUUAUUAUUUGUUUUUGCCACUGCCCCAGCACAAUGCAAUAUGCAUUGCUCCUUUCGUUUUCUCAUUCUGGUUUGCCAAAGGGAACUGUAGUUUUCUCAUUCUGGUAUGCCAAAGGGAACAGGAACCUUCAUGUCUA